This 1577-nucleotide long non-coding RNA is filed under the name Mytilus galloprovincialis (Mediterranean mussel). Lineage: Eukaryota; Metazoa; Mollusca; Bivalvia; Mytilida; Mytilidae. The record is from RNAcentral.
AACAUUCAUGCCAUGUUUGAUUUCAUUCCAUUCAGUGGUUCUCUAAAAGAAGUCAUUUGUAUGCAUUUCCCAUAGGGUCCUAUGUUAAACUAAGUCCCACGCUGGCGGCCAUCUUGGAUGAUGGAUCAGCUACAAAGUAACAACACUUGGUCAGCACCACAUAAGGAACAUUCAUGCCAUGUUUGGUUUCAUUCCAUUCAGUGGUUCACUAGAAGAAGUGAUUUGUAUGCAUUUCCAAUAGGGUCCUAUGUUAAACUAAGUCCCCCGCUGGCGGCCUUCUUGGAUAAUGGAUCAGCUACAAAGUAACAACACUUGGUCAGCACUCCAUAAGGAACAUUCAUGCUAUGUUUGGUUUCAUUCCAUUUAGUGGUUCUCUAGAAGAAGUCAUUUGUAUGCAUUUCCCAUAGGGUCCUAUGUUAAACUAAGUCCCCCACUGGCGGCCAUCUUGGAUGAUGGAUCGGCUACAAAGUAACAACACUUGGUCAGCAUCCCAUAAGGAACAUUCAUGCUAUGUUUGGUUUUAUUCCAUUCAGUGGUUCUCUAAAAGAAGUCAUUUGUAUGCAUUUCCCAUAGGGUCCUAUGUUAAACUAAGUCCCCCGCUGGCGGCCAUCUUGGAUGAUGGAUCGGCUACAAAGUAACAACACUUGGUCAGCACCCCAUAAGGAACAUUCAUGCUAUGUUUGGUUUUAUUCCAUUCAGUGGUUCUCUAGAAGAAGUCAUGUGUAUGCAUUUCCCAUAGGGUCCUAUGUUAAACUAAGUCCCCCGCUGGCGGCCAUCUUUGAUGAUGGAUCGGCUACAAAGUAACAACACUUGGUCAGCACCACAUAAGGAAAAUUCAUGCCAUGUUUGGUUUCAUUCCAUUCAGUGGUUCACUAGAAGAAGUCAUUUGUAUGCAUUUCCAAUAGGGUCCUAUGUUAAACUAAGUCCCCGCUGGUGGCCAUCUUGGAUAAUGGAUCGGCUACAAAGUAACAACACUUGGUCAGCACUCCAUAAGGAACAUUCAUGCCAUGUUUGGUUUCAUUCCAUUCAGUGGUUCUCUAGAAGAAGUCAUUUGCAUGCAUUUCCCAUAGGGUCCUAUGUUAAACUAAGUCCCCCGCUGGCGGCCAUCUUGGAUGAUGGAUCGGCUACAAAGUAACAACACUUGGUCAGCACUUCAUAAGGAACAUUCAUGCCAUGUUUGGUUUUAUUCCAUUCAGUGGUUCUCUAAAAGAAGUCAUUUGUAUGCAUUUCCCAUAGGGUCCUAUGUUAAACUAAGUCCCCCGCUGGCGGCCAUCUUGGAUAAUAGAUCGGCUACAAAGUAACAACACUUGGUCAGCACCACAUUAGGAACAUUCAUGCCAUGUUUGAUUUCAUUCCAUUCAGUAGUUCUCUAAAAGAAGUCAUUUGUAUGCAUUUUCCAUAGGGUCCUUUGUUAAACUAAGUCCCCCGCUGGCGGCCAUUUUGGAUGAUGGAUUGGCUACAAAGUAACAACACUUGGUCAGCACCUCAUAAGGAACAUUCAUGCCAUGUUUGGUUUCAUUCCAUUCAGUGGUUCUCUAGAAGAAGUUCAAAAUGUAAAAAGUUAACGACGACGACGA